This 623-nucleotide ribosomal RNA is filed under the name uncultured bacterium. RNAcentral's name for it is "bacterial SSU rRNA". It matches the Rfam family "Bacterial small subunit ribosomal RNA", at positions 56 to 726 of the family's 1533-position model. The record is from RNAcentral.
UGCAGUCGAGCGCAUCCUUCGGGAUGAGCGGCGGACGGGUUAGUAACGCGUGGGAACGUGCCCUUCUCUAAGGAAUAGCCACUGGAAACGGUGAGUAAUACCUUAUACGCCCUUCGGGGGAAAGAUUUAUCGGAGAAGGAUCGGCCCGCGUUAGAUUAGAUAGUUGGUGGGGUAACGGUCUACCAAGUCUACGAUCUAUAGCUGGUUUUAGAGGAUGAUCAGCAACACUGGGACUGAGACACGGCCCAGACUCCUACGGGAGGCAGCAGUGGGGAAUCUUAGACAAUGGGCGCAAGCCUGAUCUAGCCAUGCCGCGUGAGUGAUGAAGGCCUUAGGGUCGUAAAGCUCUUUCGCCAGAGAUGAUAAUGACAGUAUCUGGUAAAGAAACCCCGGCUAACUCCGUGCCAGCAGCCGCGGUAAUACGGAGGGGGUUAGCGUUGUUCGGAAUUACUGGGCGUAAAGCGCACGUAGGCGGAUCAGAAAGUAUAGGGUGAAAUCCCAGGGCUCAACCCUGGAACUGCCUUGUAAACUCCUGAUCUUGAGUUCGAGAGAGGUGAGUGGAAUUCCGAGUGUAGAGGUGAAAUUCGUAGAUAUUCGGAGGAACACCAGUGGCGAAGGCGGCU